This is a long non-coding RNA of Spodoptera frugiperda (fall armyworm), 974 nucleotides long. RefSeq lists it as uncharacterized. The transcript is spliced from 2 exons. The record is from RefSeq and is a predicted model, not a curated record. Lineage: Eukaryota; Metazoa; Arthropoda; Insecta; Lepidoptera; Noctuidae.
UGUUUCUUCGUACUAUAGGUAUAUGGAUAUCACUAUACGUAAUCUAUUUAUUUUCAGAAUUUUAUUAACUUACGUUUUACUUCAUCGGAAAAACCAAGUGUAAUGUUACGCCUAGAAACAUCCAACGUAUCGUGACCAAAAUAGAAUAAUUAUAACCUGCUUCAUAAAAACACGAAUACACCUAUACAUGUAAGUACUUAUAUACUUCUAUUGUUAUAUUACGUUUGUAUAUAACACGUGAGAAACAGGUCUACGUCAAUCAGUCGCAUCUCAUCGCUUGAAGCUAAUCGUUUUCAAAUUAGUUUUCUGUACCACAAAGUAUUUUUAUCGUUCUUCAUAAUAGUGUGUUAAUAUUGAUAACAAUUCAUUAAAUUGACUUCAAUGUGCGUUAUUUAUUUUGUUAAUUAAAGUAAAGUAAAUAGAUCUAUCUAUCAAUGAAUGACUGUGACCUAUUUUUGUUACAACAGAAUGGAAUAGUGCUAAAAUAAUUCAUAGUUUUGAAGUCAUAAAUGCUGGUUUAAACAGUGUAAGAUGAUUGGUUUAAGAUGUAUAAUUUUUGUGUGCUAGUUGAACAAAUUAGUGGCACAGAUAAUCAAGGUGAAGAAGUUAUUUAAACACUUGAUGUGUUGUGAUACACUGCAUUCGUAGUUGUGUGUGUGUGUCGACAACAUGAUUCGCUUGACAGUCUUAUUUGUUUUGUUCACUAUCGUCUUAAGUUUACAAGAAUUGUAUGCGGAAUGUCCACCAGGCCAGUACGAUCCUGGCCCUGACUGUUCCUUCGAGGUCAUCUGUGGUCUUCCAAGCGCCCAUUCAGCAAGACGACACUACUGCGACUGCUGGUGUAACCCUGGGACCGUCCGAGACAGCAUCACCAAUGAAUGUGUGGAAAAAUGUCCCUAAUUUAACGAACAUUUAUUUCUAAGUGUACCUAAGUAUGUUUAAUUUAAGUUAUUUAAAUAUUUAAUGAGGGUUUA